UAUUGGGUUUUCGACUAAGCCCCGCGAGUCGAGAGGGUUCGGCCCUCGGCUGACGGCUCAGUAACACGUGGAUAAUCUGCCCUUAGGUGGAGGAUAAUCUCGGGAAACUGAGGAUAAUACUCCAUAAAUCUAGGAUGCUGGAAUGCAUCUAGAUUGAAAGCUCCGGCGCCUAAGGAUGAGUCUGCGGACUAUCAGGUUGUAGUCAGGGUAAAGACCUGACUAGCCUACGACGGAUACGGGUUGUGAGAGCAAUAACCCGGAGACGAUAUCUGAGACACGAUAUCGGGCCCUACGGGGCGCAGCAGGCGCGAAAACUUCACACUGUGCGAAAGCGCGAUGAGGGAAUCCCAAGUGUUUGCUCGUAAGAGUAAACUGUUUCUUUGUUUAAAACGCAGAGAGAGUAAGGGCUGGGUAAGACGGGUGCCAGCCGCCGCGGUAAUACCUGCAGCUCGAGUGGUGAUCAUUAUUAUUGGGCCUAAAACGUCCGUAGCCGGUUUAGUAAAUGCCUGGGUAAAUCGUGUAGCUUAACUAUACGACUUCCGGGUAGACUGCUAAACUUGAGACCGGGAGAGGCUAGAGGUACUCCUGGGGUAGAGGUGAAAUUCUGUAAUCCUAGGGGGGACCCCAGUGGCAAAGGCGUCU
RNAcentral lists this ribosomal RNA (642 nucleotides) under uncultured archaeon. Its description in RNAcentral is "bacterial SSU rRNA". It matches the Rfam family "Archaeal small subunit ribosomal RNA", at positions 31 to 677 of the family's 1478-position model. The record is from RNAcentral.